Molecule: ribosomal RNA, 1245 nt
Filed under: Triticum aestivum (bread wheat)
Lineage: Eukaryota; Viridiplantae; Streptophyta; Magnoliopsida; Poales; Poaceae
Description: partial small subunit ribosomal RNA
Source: RNAcentral
AUGGCGCCAUGGAUGGGGUUGGUGCUGGUGCUGGUCGUGCUGUGCGUGCGGCCGGCCGCCUCGGCCAACACCGUGCCGGCGGCGUCGUACAUCGUCCACAUGGAGAAGUCGGCCAUGCCGAGCCCCUUCUCCAGCCACCUGCGCUGGUACGCCUCCACGCUCGCCGCGGCCGCGCCGGGGGCAAAGAUGCUCUACGCCUACGACUACGCCACACACGGGUUCGCGGCGCGCCUUCGUGAGGAGGAACUCGCCGUGCUCCGCCGAUCCCCCGGCUUCAUCUCCUGCUACCGCGACGACGCCCGGGUGGUGCGCGACACGACGCACACCCCCGAGUUCCUCGGCGUCGGCGCGGCCGGGGGGAUUUGGGAGGCUUCAAGCUACGGCGACAACGUCAUCAUCGGCGUGGUGGACACGGGCGUGUGGCCCGAGAGCGCGAGCUUCCGCGACGACGGGCUCCCCCCGGUGCCGGCGCGGUGGAAGGGCUUCUGCGAGUCCGGCACGGCGUUCGACGCCGCCAAGGUGUGCAACCGGAAGCUCGUCGGCGCGCGCAAGUUCAACAAGGGCCUCAUCGCCAACAACGUGACCGUCGCUGUCAACUCCCCGCGGGACACGAACGGCCACGGCACGCACACGUCGUCCACGGCCGCCGGCUCGCCCGUGUCGGGCGCGUCCUUCUUCGGCUACGCCCGAGGCAUCGCUCGCGGCAUGGCGCCCCGUGCCAGGGUGGCGGUGUACAAGGCCCUGUGGGACGAAGGCUCGUACGCUUCCGACAUACUCGCCGCCAUGGACCAGGCGAUCGCCGACGGCGUCGACGUGCUCUCCCUCUCCCUUAGCCUGAAAGGCCGGCAGUUAUACGAAGACCCUGUAGCCAUUGGCGCGUUCGCGGCGAUGCAGCGCGGCGUGUUCGUGUCAACUUCGGCGGGCAACGAUGGACCGGACCUCGGGUACCUCCACAACGGCUCGCCGUGGGUGCUCACCGUCGCGUCGGGCAGGGUGGACCGGGAGUUGUCCGGCAUCGUCAGGCUCGGCGACGGCACGACCUUCAUCGGCGAAACGCUCUACCCGACUAGGAUUCCUGCUAGAGCAUGGUGGCGCGGGUUGCAGUGCAGCACCCGUUGCUUAGUCCAAUUAAUUCAUCGUAAUAUAUGGCAUCAUGAACCAUUUAAGUUAAAUUUGUAUUUGGUACUUGAUCAUAUCUAUCGACCUUCAUCCUCUCCCACCAAAAGCCUGCUCAUCAAACCUUGA